AGAAUCAACGCUGGCGGCGUGCCUAACACAUGCAAGUCGAACGAGAAAGUGGAGCAAUCCACGAGUAAAGUGGCGCACGGGUGAGUAACACGUGACUAACCUACCCUUGAGUGGGGGAUAACCUAGGGAAACCUGGGCUAAUACCGCAUAAUACCUUCGGGUCAAAGGAGCAAUUCGCUUAAGGAGGGGUCGCGGCCGAUUAGUUAGUUGGCGGGUAAUGGCCCACCAAGACUAUGAUCGGUAUCC
This 246-nucleotide ribosomal RNA is filed under the name uncultured bacterium. RNAcentral describes it as "partial small subunit ribosomal RNA". It matches the Rfam family "Bacterial small subunit ribosomal RNA", at positions 26 to 288 of the family's 1533-position model. The record is from RNAcentral.